Molecule: long non-coding RNA, 406 nt
Filed under: Chrysemys picta bellii (western painted turtle)
Lineage: Eukaryota; Metazoa; Chordata; Testudines; Emydidae
Description: lncRNA (ENSCPBG00000004063.1)
Source: RNAcentral
AAAGCGUAAGAGUUAGUGUAUAGUACAGAAAACAUAAGCUGAGCCUCACCGUUUGCUUUCAUAAAAACUUUGGAUGCUACGUACUUUUAACAUGAAAAGAAAUUCCAAAAAGAGUUUAAGAGUUUUCCUGUGUGGGAGCAAAAUGAGCUAUCAGCCCUUUGAAUGCCUCCAUCUGCACCUGCACAUCAAGUGAUUUAGAUAAGACCAAACAGCACCAGGUGCAGUCACGGAAACCCCUAAAAAUAAUUACUUAAACUCAGAGUUAAAUAGAAACAGCAUGUAACAGGUGCAAGAGUCAAGACAUAUAGCCUUUUGGAUACUGCUAGCUACAUAUCCUACCAUUCCCCGAGAGUCAUGGAAACACCUACAUCCAUGAGUGCUUGGAGUAUCUGGCUAGCUGUUGAAU